AACGAACGCUGGCGGCGUGCCUAACACAUGCAAGUCGUGCGAGAAAGUUCCUUCGGGAGCGAGUAAAGCGGCGCACGGGUGAGUAACACGUAGGUAACCUGCCCCCCAGUCUGGAACAACUAGAGGAAACUCUAGCUAAUGCCGGAUGAGACCACGAUCCCCGUUCGGGGGGUUGCGGCCAAAGAUGGCCUCUACUUGUAAGCUAUCGCUGAGGGAUGGGCCUGCGGGCCAUUAGCUUGUUGGUGAGGUAACGGCUCACCAAGGCUGUGAUGGCUAGCUGGUCUGAGAGGAUGACCAGCCACACUGGGACUGAGACACGGCCCAGACUCCUACGGGA
RNAcentral lists this ribosomal RNA (337 nucleotides) under uncultured bacterium. RNAcentral's name for it is "bacterial SSU rRNA". It matches the Rfam family "Bacterial small subunit ribosomal RNA", at positions 29 to 346 of the family's 1533-position model. The record is from RNAcentral.